This 382-nucleotide unclassified non-coding RNA is filed under the name uncultured bacterium. RNAcentral's name for it is "contains 16S-23S intergenic spacer region". The record is from RNAcentral.
UCCGGCUUAACGCCGGCAGUCUCCCUAGAGUGCCCAACUUAAUGGUGGCAACUAAGGACGAGGGUUGCGCUCGUUGCGGGACUUAACCCAACACCUCACGGCACGAGCUGACGACAGCCAUGCAGCACCUGUGUUCCCGCCAGCCGAACUGAAGAGCUACAUCUCUGUUGCUCAUACGGGACAUGUCAAAGGUUGGUAAGGUUCUGCGCGUUGCUUCGAAUUGAACCACAUGCUCCACCGCUUGUGCGGGCCCCCGUCAAUUCCUUUGAGUUUCAGCCUUGCGGCCGUACUCCCCAGGCGGAGUGCUUAAUGGGUUGCCUUCGGCACUGAGGACGUGUAAAGUCCCCAACACCUAGCACUCAUCGUUUACGGCGUGGACUAC